This 88-nucleotide transfer RNA is filed under the name Rhodospirillaceae bacterium. RNAcentral's name for it is "tRNA-Leu". It matches the Rfam family "tRNA". Rfam says of the family: Transfer RNA (tRNA) molecules are approximately 80 nucleotides in length. Their secondary structure includes four short double-helical elements and three loops (D, anti-codon, and T loops). Further hydrogen bonds mediate the characteristic L-shaped molecular structure. tRNAs have two regions of fundamental functional importance: the anti-codon, which is responsible for specific mRNA codon recognition, and the 3' end, to which the tRNAs corresponding amino acid is attached (by aminoacyl-tRNA synthetases). tRNAs cope with the degeneracy of the genetic code in two manners: having more than one tRNA (with a specific anti-codon) for a particular amino acid; and 'wobble' base-pairing, i.e. permitting non-standard base-pairing at the 3rd anti-codon position. The record is from RNAcentral. Lineage: Bacteria; Pseudomonadati; Pseudomonadota; Alphaproteobacteria; Rhodospirillales; Rhodospirillaceae. RNAcentral also lists the same sequence under 1 other name.
GGCCGCAUGGAGAAAUUGGUAAACUCAAGAGACUUAAAAUCUCUCGCUCUCAAGGGGCUUCCCGGUUCGAGUCCGGGUGCGGCCACCA